GAUGAACGCUGGCGGCGUGCUUAACACAUGCCAGUCGAACGGACAGGCUCCUGCUUGCAGGGUUACUCGAGUGGCGCACGGGUGAGUAACACGUGGGUGAUAUGCCCUGCACUUCGGGAUAAGCCUUGGAAACUGGGUCUAAUACCGGAUAGGACGAUGGUAUGGAUGCCAUUGUGGAAUGUUAUUUCGGUGUGGGAUGAGCUCGCGGCCUAUCCGCUUGUUGGUGGGGUAUUGGUCUACGAAGGCGUAGACAGGUAGCCGGCCUGGGAGGGUGUACGGCCACAAGGGGACUGAGAGACGGACCAGUCGCCAACGUGACGCAGCAGUGGAGAAUAUUACAGAAUGGGCGCAAGCCUGAGGCAGCGACGCCGCGUGGGGGAUAACGUCCUUCGGGUGGAAAACUCCUGUCGCUAGGAGCGAAGCGCAAGUGACGGUACCUGGAGAGGAAGCAACGGCUAACUACGUG
RNAcentral lists this ribosomal RNA (466 nucleotides) under uncultured bacterium. RNAcentral's name for it is "partial 16S ribosomal RNA". It matches the Rfam family "Bacterial small subunit ribosomal RNA", at positions 28 to 507 of the family's 1533-position model. The record is from RNAcentral.